ACCUCUCCUUUUUGUUGGAGAUCUAAGAGCCCUAGAUGUUCUCAUCAAACUCAGACAAGAUUCAUAGGAUACUCCUAGUUAAAAAUGUGUCACAGGUCAGAAAAUGAUGAGAACCACUUCCCUAAGCUAGGCUACCUACUUCUCAGCAUUUCGACACAACUUUUUGUUAGAUCAGAUCAAUACCUGCAGAUAAAUGUUUUGUACAUGUUUGUACUUUGUGCUUUCAAAAUGUUUUAUGGCCUCUGUUGAUGUCAGUGUGUGAGUAUCAAAGUUUGAUGACUUGUGCUCUUAAUGUGGUGCAGACCUGUUCAGCUACUUAGUGAGAGGAAGACAGGAAGGGGAAAGAGAUUCAAUUGUGUUUAAUAUUUAUAGACAGAGCCUGGAUCAGGUACAUUCAUUUUGUUUGGCUUUGGGAACAACAGUCAGUGAUUGGCUGAAGGUUCUGAACAGUGAAGAAACGGCAGUUAACUGUCAGUUGGGAGAAGUAAUGAGUGAGGUGUGAGGCAAAGACAAGAGAAAGCUGAGGUGAAAGCAGACAAAUAAGGCUUAAGCUCCCUAAACCCAGUUUGUUAACAAUAUUUUUUUGGCGAAGAUUAGAACAAGUGAGCUGGUGUGUAUUUUAGGCUAAGAAGCUGCCCAGUUCUUAGCAGAAAAAUGCCAUAAAAGCAGAUUUCUUAAAUGAGCUCAACUGUCCAAGCAGCCAGAAAUAGGAUCUGUGGAGCUUUGCAGGCCAAAAGCAGAUGGUACCUAGCAGUUGAAUCAAUUUUGUUGUGCCAAAGAACUACCAGCAUAUUCUGGCCUUGGUAUUUGCUGUCAAGGAGAUCAAUGAGAACCCCAAGAUCUUGCCUAAUAUUACAAUGGGAUUCCAUAUCUAUGACAGUUACUUCAAUCAAAGGAUGACCUACCAGGCUGCUCUGAACCUUCCAUCAACACUUAUACCCAACUACAAGUGUGACACUCAGAAACAUCUGAUGGUAGUUAUUGGGGGACUUGACAUGGAUUCCUCCCUUCAAAUGGCAGACAUACUGGGCAUCUACAAGAUUCCUCAGAGGAGCAGGCCAGUGGAACCUGCACUGGAGAGGAGAAGCUGGAAGAACUAAUUUCAUCUGCUUUUGAGAUGAGCAUGUCUGGUCACAGCUACAGUGUCUAUAAUGCCGUCUAUGCCACAGCACAUGCUCUACAUGGAAUGCUCUUGCCCAGGACAAAAUAUAGGAGAGUGGUGGAAGG
This is a non-coding RNA of Podarcis muralis (Common wall lizard), 1227 nucleotides long. The record is from RefSeq and is a predicted model, not a curated record. NCBI's taxonomy places the organism in Eukaryota, Metazoa, Chordata, Lepidosauria, Squamata, Lacertidae.